ACGCUCGACACCUACGGGGGCAGCAGUGGGGAAUAUUGGGCAAUGGGCGCAAGCCUGACCCAGCAACGCCGCGUGAAGGAAGAAGGCUUUCGGGUUGUAAACUUCUUUUGUCAGGGAACAGUAGAAGAGGGUACCUGACGAAUAAGCCACGGCUAACUACGUGUCAGCAGCCGCGGUAAUCUGAGCGGGCUGGCAAGGC
RNAcentral lists this ribosomal RNA (199 nucleotides) under uncultured bacterium. RNAcentral describes it as "partial 16S ribosomal RNA". It matches the Rfam family "Bacterial small subunit ribosomal RNA", at positions 328 to 539 of the family's 1533-position model. The record is from RNAcentral.